UUUAAAUGUAAAUAAAAUUAUCAAAGAAGUAUUAGUUAAGUUCUUGAAAUUUAAAAAUUUUGGCGGUAUUUUAGUCUGUUCAGAGGAAUCUGUUCUAUAAUUGAUAGUCCACGAAUAAAUGUACUUAGUUUAAAUAAAUUUGUAUAUCGUCGUUGUUAAAUAUUUUAUAAGAAUAAAAAUUUUUAUAAUUAAUAAUUAUUAAAUAUUUCAGAUCAAGGUGCAGUUUAUAAUUAAGAAGAAAUGGAUUACAAUAAAUUUAUUUACAUGGAUUUAGUUAUUUAAAUAAUGAUGAAGGUGGAUUUGAAAGUAAUAAAAUUUAAAUAAAUUUUAUGAUUUUAGCUCUAAAAUGUGU
Molecule: ribosomal RNA, 352 nt
Filed under: Pachydrus sp. UNM KBMPasp761
Lineage: Eukaryota; Metazoa; Arthropoda; Insecta; Coleoptera; Dytiscidae
Description: partial 12S ribosomal RNA
Source: RNAcentral